GACGAACGCUGGCGGCGUGCUUAACACAUGCAAGUCGAACGGAAAGGCCCUGCUUUUGUGGGGUGCUCGAGUGGCGAACGGGUGAGUAACACGUGAGUAACCUGCCCUUGACUUUGGGAUAACUUCAGGAAACUGGGGCUAAUACCGGAUAGGAGCUCCUGCUGCAUGGUGGGGGUUGGAAAGUUUCGGCGGUUGGGGAUGGACUCGCGGCUUAUCAGCUUGUUGGUGGGGUAGUGGCUUACCAAGGCUUUGACGGGUAGCCGGCCUGAGAGGGUGACCGGCCACAUUGGGACUGAGAUACGGACCAGACUGCUACGGGAGGCAGCAGUGGGGAAUAUUGCACAAUGGGCGGAAGCCUGAUGCAGCAACGCCGCGUGCGGGAUGACGGCCUUCGGGUUGUAAACCGCUGUCGCCUGUGACGAAGCGUGAGUGACGGUAAUGGGUAAAGAAGCACCGGCUAACUACGUG
RNAcentral lists this ribosomal RNA (468 nucleotides) under uncultured bacterium. RNAcentral describes it as "partial 16S ribosomal RNA". It matches the Rfam family "Bacterial small subunit ribosomal RNA", at positions 28 to 507 of the family's 1533-position model. The record is from RNAcentral.